UGACGGUAUCAUAUGAAUAAGCACCGGCUAACUCCGUGCCAGCAGCCGCGGUAAUACGGGGGGUGCAAGCGUUACUCGGAAUCACUGGGCGUAAAGAGCAUGUAGGCGGGUGAAUAAGUUGGAAGUGAAAUCCUAUAGCUUAACUAUAGAACUGCUUCCAAAACUGUUCACCUAGAGUAUGGGAGAGGUAGAUGGAAUUUCUGGUGUAGGGGUAAAAUCCGUAGAGAUCAGAAGGAAUACCGAUUGCGAAGGCGAUCUACUGGAACAUUACUGACGCUCAGAUGCGAAAGCGUGGGGAGCAAACAGGAUUAGAUACCCUGGUAGUCCACGCCCUAAACGAUGUACACUAGUUGUUGCUAUACUAGAUAUGGCAGUAAUGCAGUUAACACUUUAAGUGUACCGCCUGGGGAGUACGGUCGCAAGAUUAAAACUCAAAGGAAUAGACGGGGACCCGCACAAGCGGUGGAGCAUGUGGUUUAAUU
RNAcentral lists this ribosomal RNA (482 nucleotides) under uncultured bacterium. Its description in RNAcentral is "bacterial SSU rRNA". It matches the Rfam family "Bacterial small subunit ribosomal RNA", at positions 470 to 951 of the family's 1533-position model. The record is from RNAcentral.